UGUUUCAAAUCAAUUCACAUAUUUUGCCUGGAAUGAAUAUUAAAAAUAGAAUAUUAAAUUAUAAAAAUAGUAAAUUGAAUAAUAGAAAAAAAAAGUUCAAGUAUUAAUUAUUAUUCAAUGUUUAUAGAUACAACACAAAAAUGACCAAAAAGUUUGUGGAAAAAUGACAUUACAAGUGACAAAAGUCUUGGCAGUCUUAAUUAAGCGAGGUAUUCUUGGAUAUUGGAAAGUUAAACAAGUCUUGGCUGGCAUUAGUGAAUUUACAAUUAAAAAUUGUCUUAGAAUGUUGAUGUACUAAAUAUAACGAAUGAAAUGAAGUGGUGGUGUGCUGAACGACAGAGAUGAAAGUGUAAUGGAGCAAAUGGAUGGAUAAGCUAGCUACAUAUUUUAUCACGAUCAUCAGAAAAGUCAAGUUAUGAAAAUGACAGUGAUGAUGCUCAUCGUGAUAAAAGUGGAUGCUAAUCAUAACAAGAUAAUUGACGGAUUUUACCUGUGUGCUCAUUGUAAUCAUAUUCACAACAUAUUUCCUAAUCAUUGAUAAGACGUUGAGUUGGAGUUAGAGCAUCUGUGCCUCAUAGAUCUUCUAAAUAAGGUAAGAGGCCCUCUGGUCACUUUUUUAACCAAUCCCUCAGGGUAAAUGUGCGUCAACAAGCUUGUAACUUUAAAGAAUCUAUUGUAAUAUUCUUUAAAGCUACUUGAUAAUCCCCGAUAUAUUUUUCAUAUAUAUAUAUUUGUGACUUGUUAGCUCACCUUGAUUACAUUUUCAUUCAAUUAUAAUUUGUUCAUGCCGAGAGUAAAUGGUCGUAGUUAAUUGAUCAAGGUGUGCACAUCAACCUGUCUAUCUCAAACAGAGUAGACGGGGGUGAAUAGGAUGUAUUUCAAUUUUCAGGUAUUCGUGAAUUCAAGACAUUAGUUGAUUUUUUUCUAUGUGAAAUUGUUAUACCCAUUUUAUUCCAUUUCAGGUUUAUUAUAAUAUUUAUUAGUUUUAAUAAACUUCUUGUUGAACGCACGUUACCACAAUAAUAAUUGACAAACUUUUACAUUAUUUAAAAAUUUCAAUAUUCAAAAUUAUUUUUUUUUGUUCUA
Long non-coding RNA from Aphidius gifuensis, 1086 nucleotides. RefSeq lists it as uncharacterized. The transcript has 4 exons. NCBI's taxonomy places the organism in Eukaryota, Metazoa, Arthropoda, Insecta, Hymenoptera, Braconidae. The record is from RefSeq and is a predicted model, not a curated record.